Molecule: ribosomal RNA, 465 nt
Filed under: uncultured Klebsiella sp.
Lineage: Bacteria; Pseudomonadati; Pseudomonadota; Gammaproteobacteria; Enterobacterales; Enterobacteriaceae
Description: bacterial SSU rRNA
Rfam family: Bacterial small subunit ribosomal RNA
Source: RNAcentral
CCUACGGGCGGCUGCAGUGGGGAAUAUUGCACAAUGGGCGCAAGCCUGGUGCAGCCAUGCCGCGUGUGUGAAGAAGGCCUUCGGGUUGUAAAGCACUUUCAGCGGGGAGGAAGGCGUUAAGGUUAAUAACCUUGUCGAUUGACGUUACCCGCAGAAGAAGCACCGGCUAACUCCGUGCCAGCAGCCGCGGUAAUACGGAGGGUGCAAGCGUUAAUCGGAAUUACUGGGCGUAAAGCGCACGCAGGCGGUCUGUCAAGUCGGAUGUGAAAUCCCCGGGCUCAACCUGGGAACUGCAUUCGAAACUGGCAGGCUAGAGUCUUGUAGAGGGGGGUAGAAUUCCAGGUGUAGCGGUGAAAUGCGUAGAGAUCUGGAGGAAUACCGGUGGCGAAGGCGGCCCCCUGGACAAAGACUGACGCUCAGGUGCGAAAGCGUGGGGAGCAAACAGGAUUAGAUACCCUUGUAGUC